Molecule: regulatory RNA element, 126 nt
Organism: Marinomonas ushuaiensis DSM 15871
Lineage: Bacteria; Pseudomonadati; Pseudomonadota; Gammaproteobacteria; Oceanospirillales; Oceanospirillaceae
Rfam family: Ribosomal S15 leader
About the family: The E. coli Ribosomal S15 gene 5' UTR can form two alternative structures. One that is a series of three hairpins, The other includes a pseudoknot.
Source: Rfam
UAGGAUGUCUGAAAAUAUGCUCGGCUAUCCUUUAUUUUUAAAUAGCAUAUUAAUUUGGAGAUAUAGAUUAUGGCAUUAACUGCAGAAUCAAAAGCAGCGUUGGUUAAAGAGUUUCAAGUAGCGGAA